Molecule: long non-coding RNA, 593 nt
Filed under: Parus major (Great Tit)
Lineage: Eukaryota; Metazoa; Chordata; Aves; Passeriformes; Paridae
Description: lncRNA (ENSPMJG00000002552.1)
Source: RNAcentral
GGCAACUUCCCCCCACCCCAAGAUGGCAGAUUUGCUGAUCUAAUCAACUACUUCCUGAAUUUAAACAACACACAAAACCUACGUAGAGGGAUCUCUGAGAAAAUUUAAUAUUUACUGUUAUUAUUAUUAAAAAUUCAAGAUUCUUCUCCAGUCCUUGCUGAGCGAGCUUCAUGCCCAGACAACUUCUGAGACUGCAAAUAGGGAUGACUUCCUCUCCUGCAAUGGAAAUGGUCAGAAAUACCUUGUGUUCAAGCUGUAUGUACCCACUUUGAAAGGCUAAAGAUUUAAUGGCAUAUAUGUUGAGAAAAGGUGACUGGAAGAACAAAAAUGAAAGAUCAGCAAUCUUAUUCCCUGUUCACUUUUCACCACUCUCAGCUGAAGAAAGUUAUUAUCACCCAGGAGUGCUUAGGAGUGAUGUAGGAGCUGAAAAUGUUCACACUUACCCAACGAAUACACUGGCUUUUGCUUAGGACAAAACAGAGUGGGAAGCUAAUUCUUCAGCAGCUUUAAACAUAACAGAGAGACUCAUGAGAACAGAAACAAAAACUUUGCAAAUGUUAAAGGAAUAAAGCAUCUGCCAGAGACUUUUAACA